CUAUCUACCCACUGUAUCAGGUAGUGUGACAUAUAUAUUAACAUGUAUCAGGAUUUGGGACUGCGAUCAAACUUUUGCUCUCUAGACUUAAUAAGACGCCUUUACUUGUGCAAUCCUGAGAGAAAGUCUUUCUAGACUUAAAAACAGAGCACGUGUAUAAUGUCACACAAAUGCAGCAAUGAUUAGAGAAGUUUAGCAAGCUGAUGAUUAAAUUAUUACCUCAAGGGAAGAAGAUUCUCGGUUGUGCCGUUUAGUGCCU
RNAcentral lists this long non-coding RNA (259 nucleotides) under Brassica rapa (field mustard). Its description in RNAcentral is "long non-coding RNA (BRAP_LNC006015)". The record is from RNAcentral. Lineage: Eukaryota; Viridiplantae; Streptophyta; Magnoliopsida; Brassicales; Brassicaceae.